UACGAGAGGCCCAAACGUUAUUCGGAUUUACUGGGCUUAAAGAGUUCGUAGGCGGCGCAGAAAGUAGGGUGUGAAAACCCUCGGCUCAACCGAGGAAUUGCGCUCUAAACUACUGUGCUUGAGGAAGCUAGAGGUGAGCGGAACUGAUGGUGGAGCGGUGAAAUGCGUUGAUAUCAUCAGGAACACCGGAGGCGAAGGCGGCUCACUGGGGCUUAUCUGACGCUGAGGAACAAAAGCCAGGGGAGCGAACGGG
RNAcentral lists this ribosomal RNA (253 nucleotides) under uncultured Pasteuria sp. Its description in RNAcentral is "partial 16S ribosomal RNA". It matches the Rfam family "Bacterial small subunit ribosomal RNA", at positions 524 to 776 of the family's 1533-position model. The record is from RNAcentral. Lineage: Bacteria; Bacillati; Bacillota; Bacilli; Caryophanales; Pasteuriaceae.